AGGCUGUCUUUCUAGCAUGUUGCCCUUUUUCAACCACAUUUGUGUUUCAGGUGUAGAGAGGAGAGAGAGUGAACAGGGAGCGGGGCUUUUGUCUGUUUAUUACCCAGAACUCUCUGUCUGGGUCAGUCAAGAACCAUUUCCAAACAAGGACAUGGAGGGAAGGCUUCCUAAGGGAAGACUUCCUGUCCCAAAGGAAGUGAACCGCAAGAAGAACGAUGAGACAAACGCUGCCUCCCUGACUCCACUGGGCAGCAGUGAACUCCGCUCCCCAAGAAUCAGUUACCUCCACUUUUUUUAAUCGUAACACCUCCAUUUGUAUUACAUAUGGUGUAUGGGUAUUGAUGAGGUCAUGGUAUCAUAUAUGGGAUUUUUUUCUGUGUAAAUCAUCAAGUAUAAGAAGAAACUAUGGGACUCUGAGCCUUGCUUUAGAGAAUUUACAGUGGACAAAUAGGUAUCAUCAAACCAGUUUUUAAUCAUUCUGACUCAAGUGAAAAUGCUCAGAAUUUCACACUGUGAAUCCACGUUUACAACCCUUACAGGUGGGCCUUCAGGCCUGGUUCGCUACAACAAUGUCUUC
This 577-nucleotide small RNA is filed under the name Pongo abelii (Sumatran orangutan). Its description in RNAcentral is "processed transcript". Lineage: Eukaryota; Metazoa; Chordata; Mammalia; Primates; Hominidae. The record is from RNAcentral.